This 406-nucleotide ribosomal RNA is filed under the name uncultured bacterium. Its description in RNAcentral is "partial 16S ribosomal RNA". It matches the Rfam family "Bacterial small subunit ribosomal RNA", at positions 29 to 526 of the family's 1533-position model. The record is from RNAcentral.
AAUGAACGCUGGCGGCAGGCCUAACACAUGCAAGUCGAGCGAGUGGCGGACGGGUGAGUAAUGUCUGGGAAACUGCCUGAUGGAGGGGGAUAACUACUGGAAACGGUAGCUAAUACCGCAUACCAUCAGAUGUGCCCAGAUGGGAUUAGCUUGUGGGUGGGGUAACGGCUCACCUAGGCGACGAUCCCUAGCUGGUCUGAGAGGAUGACCAGCCACACUGGAACUGAGACACGGUCCAGACUCCUACGGGAGGCAGGAGUGGGGAAUAUUGCACAAUGGGAGCAAGCCUAGUCCAGCCAUGCCGCGUAUAUGAAGAAGGCCUUCGGGUUUUAAAGUACUUUCAGCGGGGAGGCGUUACUCGCAGAAGAAGCACCGGCUAACUCCGUGCCAGCAGCCGCGGUAAUAC